Molecule: RNA transcript, 5225 nt
Organism: Brachypodium distachyon (stiff brome)
Lineage: Eukaryota; Viridiplantae; Streptophyta; Magnoliopsida; Poales; Poaceae
Gene name: heat shock protein 81-1
Exons: 7
Source: RefSeq, a predicted model, not a curated record
AAGACCUAAGUGUGUAAGUUUUGAGUUUAAAGAAUCACCAUUUUCAAUUUAUGGAAAAUACUCCCCAAAUAGCCAUAUACUCCGUAUCUAGUAAGAAAAAACAAUUACAUUUGAAUCCUUCCGCGUGGAUUAUUAUUCUGGCCGGCAACAGAAUCAUCAGAUCUCUAAACCCUAAAGCCAAACCAGCCCGAAACCCUCCUCUCCCUUCUCCUUCUCUUUCUCCCGAAUCCCGACGACCGAUGGCGGCGCUCCCGCCUGCCGCAUCGCCGCGCUUCCCUCCCCUCUGAAUCCCACCCACGAGCCGCUCCCCGCCCGUCUCGGGGGACCUCCGCCGUCCACAGGCCCGUCGCCUGCCGCCGCCCACGAGCCCGUAGCGGGGCGCCCUCCGCUGCCCCUGCCCGAGGCCGGCGUCCUCCGCUGUCCACUCGUGCACCGCCCACGAGCUCUCUACUCUUCUGCUCUGUCACACUGACAGCGGAGAUUAGGCUUCGUGAAGUGUCAGAUUGCGUUUAAAUCUCUUGUUGCUAGCCCUAAUUUUGUUGAACGUGCUGUACAGACACAUGCAAUUGGUGCAAGAUUGAAAGAAGUCUGUCAUUUAAAUCGCAAUUUGUUGAGUUUGACUACUGUCAUCCGAGAGCUGAGGUCAUGCCGCCAAUCAUUCGUCGUGGCUUACGUAGCAAACGGGAUGCCAAGCCGUGGACUUGUGUUUGCGGUAAUGUCAAUCGACCGACACGACAUCUGAUUAUUGAUUUGACAAAAUUCAGGUGCAAGUGUGGGAAAGAGGCCUCCUCCGCCGACCUGGGCAUCCCUGACCUAAUCAGCACGCUCGCGUGACGUGCUGCAGGAUUCUUAGCGCAUAAGGUCAUGAUUGACGAGGUCAUCUCCCUGCAAUCGUAGACCCUAAACGAUCUAAGGGGUUGAGGGCCACAUCGCGUCGGGCAUGGUCAGGUUUCCUCUGGUACGCCCUCGACCUGCAGCGCGAUCUCUCAGGCUGAACUUGCUUUCGAGGCUCCUUCGCAUAGGCGACCCAAGCGUCCAUACUUUCUGGUUUCAUGGCUAUAAUCUACACACUGUUCUGCUAGAAUGGCUUAGUAUAUGGUUUGGAUUUACUUGGAUAGUUCAAUUGAACAGGAUAACCGGAUAAAUGGAUGUGCUGUUUUGUUUAGGGUGCAUUGUGUAAUGGUAUCUUGAUCUAUCUGGACACUAGAAUUGAUAUGAGAUAAUUUCACACCGAGCAUUAAGUGCCAGGCAUUAGUGCACUAAAAUGUACAGUUGGUGUCAGUUUUGAGUCUCUGAAAAAACAAGUUCCUCAGUAUCAAUCAGAAAAAUUGGAUUACUGUGUUGCAGCUUUGUCUCCCAAUUCCCAAAAGACUGUCACCUUGAUGCCAAAGUUGUUUACUGCCAUGCACAACAAAGAAAAUGUGGGCAAAUUGAAGGUUGUUUAUACAGUUUAGUAGCAAGACAAUGGCAGUACAGGCGAUGUGCAUACAUAAAUGUUGCACGUAGAGGGUAGACGUUAGUGAAGAAAUUUUAUUCAUGCUGAUGUUUGAAGAUGCAAUGUUUAGGUGUCUUUUAGUAAUCUAAGUCUUGUCUCUCAGCACUCACCGGACUUUGUUUUAGGUCACAGAAAUUUAUUAUCUUAUUGGUAAUGCUCACAUAUAUCUUGAAUGAGCAGAGAGUUAUUUAAUAGGCUGUACUUGAUACAACACAAGAGGACAUGUUGUCCUUUCAGGAUGUCUAUAUAGAAUUAUAUUGGUAACAAAGAAACCCUCCUUCUGUACAAUAUAUUUUCUGAAAAGAGGUACUUCUGUCCAAUAUAGUUUGAAGCUCCUUGAUGCUACAUUCCUUAAGGGAAAUGUAUUCCCGCUAGCAUACCAUUACAUAAGUAGAACUAUUACAUUUUUCUAUGCUAUUUACUAGCUUGACACGAACAUUGUACCUGAAGCAUGAUCACAUAUUCUCAUGCCAUAUUAGAGUCGUGUUGCUAUUCUCUUACAUAUGUUCAUGUAGUUUGCCUCUCAGAACAGUCUUUCUAGGCUCAAGUUUGCGAUGACAUAAAAUGAAUAAUCUUUUAGAAGUGGAGGAGGGCCAACUUUCCUCUAUAUCCAGUUUUGUUUAGUUGGUUUUGAAUUUUGCCCCAAUGCCGCUGUUUACCAAGCAAAUUUGUUCGGUUUUACGUUGAAUGUUUUUGGUGUAGAUCCUAGGUAAAUUGAUGGAAGCCCACUGACCACAAAAUACAUCAAUUUUGUUAAGAGGUUGGGAACCAAAAUGAGUUGGAUCAGAGUAGUUUGCCUUUGCCCUGGAAGUGCUAGAGGUCAAAUUGUUGUUGUGUCUACAUGGUACUGAUCUGUUAGGUCAAUGAUCGAAAUUCGUGAUUGAUUUGCAGAGGAUGCUAGGAAUUCUUAUACAGACAUAAAUCUUAAGUGAACGAUAAGACUAUUUACAAACUGAGUGGGCGUUCUCUAUAAACCUUUUAUUUCAACUGUUUUGGUGUAGCAUGUCUUAAUGUUCGCAAUCAAAAUUAUUCCACCUUUUCGUUCUUUUAUAUAUGUGCUUUAGGCUCAAAUUUUUAUGCCUAUUGUUGCAAUACUUCAUAUCUCAAGCCUGUCCUUGAGGCUUCAAACUGUAAUAUGCACAUGCUGUCAUCUUGAGUAUCUUCUAUACCAGUUCUAAUGCGACCGUUAAUCCUCCUUCUAUGAGAAUGAUAAUGGUAAUGUAAAGCACUGCUUUAUCAUGCCACCUUUUAGGCUAACACGACACUUUCUUUUCAUGUGUUCAUUCUGAAGUAUCAUCAUCACCUUUUGAGCAAGAUAAAAGAGUUGUAUCAUAGACCUGAACAUUACUUUCAUCUUUUCUUUUUGUUUCUGUGCAGCAGAAUUAUCAUCACUUGACAUGCCCAAGCUGUAAAAAACGUACUCCCUCCGUCCCGAAAUAAGUGACGUGGAUUUGUAUAAGAAUCUAUACAAAUCGAAGUCACUUAUUUUGGGACGGAGGGAGUAGUUUGCCCAGCAUGGGUACAUGCAGAGUACAUGAAAGGGUUUUUCAUGAAGAUAUGGAUCUGCAUACAGAUAGAAUAUGCUAAUACUCUAUGCUGUAGGCAUGAUUAAUUAUAUUCUAAUCAGUGAAAAGACAAAAUGAUUCCUUCUAUACUGCACGUACUAGAAUCAUCUUAGAUAAUCAAAAGUUCUGUGCAUACCAUUUUGACUGAACUAUACUUAAUUAUAAGUUUCGUGACCAUGAAUGAGAACAUUUUUUUUUCAAAUAGUAUUAGGGAAGAAUUUUGUGACUACAUAAUUACUGAGAAGGAAGAAGGAAGUCCUCCCGUGAUGUGAAUAAAACAGUUUGCAUCUGGAUGCCCAAAGUUCCGUCACAAGAUAUGCUUUUUCUUCUAAAAUGUUAUCGUGUUAUGACUUCCCUUUUAUAACAAAAUAGUCGAACCGAUUUCUGAAGUACUAUUAUUAAUAGCUAUUCAAAGGGAUUAUAAUUCGAUGUAAAAGUCUAUCACCAAGAAGGGAGAAUGGAAGUCCUCUAAUGACAUCUAUAAAGCAUUGGCUAGCUUGAAAUGUAAAGUUUAAUCCUAUGUACCGAUUAUAGUAUCAAAUACAAUCAACACAUGUGGCUGUAUUGGUAUGGUCUUUACAAAUGACAUUAGUAAUCAUUAGGCUAUAAAAAUUAAAUUGCAUUUAAAAUGUUCUGCCAAGGUGAUAUUAUCUUCUUUCAUAAUAUGUGAUGAGCUAUAGAAUCAUACCAUUUUCAGUCGCAUGACAUAAAAAUCUAUGAGACCAUAAAUUAUUGUUCAAACAUUUUCAGCAAACUAAGGAUGUUGCCCUCGCAUUUGUGAGGGCCACCUUGCUAGUUUACUCAAAUGACAGAUGUGCAUGAGUCUAGAACCCCUUCGUCUUUGGGCAUGUAAACUUGAGGCCUAUCACCAAAGUACCAAACGAAUCUUUCUAUUGCCCUCAUCUUCAUGCCACCAAAGUCUGUAGUUCUAUAAUGAUCAAUCUUGUUCAACAAAUCUAUCUUUUUAUUCUGAUUGAUUCUUUUAUUAUAUAGAUAAUUGCGUGGGUUUUUCUUUCACACAUCAAAUUGAGAUUGUGAAAAGGCUGAAGGCUUUAGUAAAGAAGAGAGACCCGUUAUCAGUGAAGCCUCUAUGUGCAAACACACUCUGUAAUAUGUUUCUUAACAAAUGCAAAGAUUAUUUCUCAGAGACGAAACCCAUCACAAAAUACCGGGCCUAUAUCCCGCAGGUCCAAAUGGCCUUGAUUUUGAAAGAAGAGGGUUUUAAGGAGGAGGAUGGAAAGCUGUUGAAGAUUUCAAAUGUAAGCACACUGCCCAGAUAUGACUUUGUUGGCAUCACCAGAGCCCUUGCUGAUGGCGACCCGUUGUUCUCUGCUUUCAAUUCUGGAAAGCGACUUAAAAAUCUAAAAUAGAAGCAAAUUUACAAAGCCUACCUCCGACCAAAAUAUCGUCAGAAUAGAAAGAAAAGAUUAAAAGGCCACGCGGUAUGCCUCAUUGGUGCAGGAAGGCAGAAGAGUCAAACGUACUUUUCCUUCCUUAACAGUUGGAAUAAGUUUUGCAUGCGUUAUAAUAGACGCGGAAAGAAGUAUAAAUGGGGUUUUGGGAGGGUACGGGCAACGGAUUUGAAAUGCAGCGCAAUCCGUUUCUCACGUUUCCACGAACCUGGAGACAGUUCGAGUUUGAUGUUGCAAGAAGGUACUGUGCUGAAUGAACAUAAUCUUUGGUUGAUGACUGCUUCGAAGUAUAAGGCUGCCAUUGAUAACAAUGAUGAUGCUUUGGAGGUGUCAGACAAGCCAAGUCCUGAGAGCCAGACUGACAAGAGCAAAUUGGAUGCUCAGCCAGAGCUAUUCAUCCACAUUGUCCCUGACAAGGCCGCAAACAACAAUGAUAUUUGUAUGUUCAAGCCAGAUCUUCUGAGGAACCUUGGUACCACUGCAAGGUCUGCGACGAAGGUGCUCAUGGAGGGAUUGGCUGCUGGUACUAAUGUGCCCAUGAUCGCUCGGUUUAGUAUGGGUUAUCUGGUUGCAGAGAUAGUCGUCGUGACUGCCAAGCACAACGAUGAGCAGCAGUAUGUUUGGGAAUCUCGGGCUAAUGGGUAGCAUGCCUUAAGUAGCAUGUUGUCCUGCAGAAACAAAUUAAAUUAAAUGAACAACAAAGAAGCAGGUAAAUAUUCGUAUAUUGGACAAGGAGGGGUUUAAGCGUAAGUA